This 384-nucleotide RNase P RNA is filed under the name Candidatus Dadabacteria bacterium RIFCSPHIGHO2_12_FULL_53_21. RNAcentral's name for it is "RNase P RNA component class A". It matches the Rfam family "Bacterial RNase P class A". Rfam says of the family: Ribonuclease P (RNase P) is a ubiquitous endoribonuclease, found in archaea, bacteria and eukarya as well as chloroplasts and mitochondria. Its best characterised activity is the generation of mature 5'-ends of tRNAs by cleaving the 5'-leader elements of precursor-tRNAs. Lineage: Bacteria; Pseudomonadati; Thermodesulfobacteriota; Candidatus Dadabacteria. The record is from RNAcentral.
CAAGUGAGCCGGACAGUCGCUGGUCGGGGCAGAAAUGCCGAGACUGGAGGAAAGUCCGAACUCCGCAGGGCAGAGCGCUGGGUAACGCCCAGGUGUCGUGAGGCAACGGAAAGUGCCACAGAAAACAAACCGCCAAAGCUUUUCAAUCAUGGAAAGCCGGUAAGGGUGAAAAGGCAGUGUAAGAGACUACCGCGCCGGCUGGUGACAGCGGGCGGCAUGGUAAACCCCGCUCGGAGUAAGACAAAAUAGGGAAGCGAUUUUCCUCGUGAAAUAAAGGGCGGCCCGUCCGAUGCUUCCGGGUAUGUUGCAAGAGGCAUUCAGCAAUGAAUGUCCCAGAUGAAUGAUUGUCCAAGACAGAAUUCGGCUUACAGGCUCGCUUGCUUC